CCUGCCUGCCCAGUGACCUUAGUUAAACGGCCGCGGUAUUCUGACCGUGCAAAGGCAGCGCAAUCACUUGCCUUUUAAAUGAAGACCUGUAUGAAUGGCAAGACGAAGGCUUAACUGUCUCCCCCCUCCAGUCAAUGAAAUUGAUCUCCCCGUGCAGAAGCGGGGAUAAACACAUAAGACGAGAAGACCCUGUGGAGCUUAAGACAACAAGACCAACCUGUCAAAAAUAACAAAACAAAGCUAAACGAACUAAAUGGCCCUGUCCUUGUGUCUUCGGUUGGGGCGACCAUGGGGAACUAAAAAACCCCCACGUGGAACAAGAGCACCUCUACUCUCACAAACCAGAGGGACACCUCUAAUUAACAGAACUUCUGACCUAAAAUGACCCGGCUUAAGCCGAUCAACGAACCAAGUUACCCCAGGGAUAACAGCGCAAUCCCCUUCCAGAGCCCAUAUCGACAAGGGGGUUUACGACCUCGAUGUUGGAUCAGGACAUCCUAGUGGUGCAGCAGCUACUAAGGUUCGUUUCUCAACGA
RNAcentral lists this ribosomal RNA (536 nucleotides) under Pseudaesopia japonica (wavyband sole). RNAcentral describes it as "partial 16S ribosomal RNA". It matches the Rfam family "Bacterial large subunit ribosomal RNA", at positions 1854 to 2587 of the family's 2925-position model. Lineage: Eukaryota; Metazoa; Chordata; Actinopteri; Pleuronectiformes; Soleidae. The record is from RNAcentral.